RNAcentral lists this ribosomal RNA (531 nucleotides) under Triatoma matogrossensis. RNAcentral's name for it is "partial 16S ribosomal RNA". It matches the Rfam family "Bacterial large subunit ribosomal RNA", at positions 1808 to 2612 of the family's 2925-position model. Lineage: Eukaryota; Metazoa; Arthropoda; Insecta; Hemiptera; Reduviidae. The record is from RNAcentral.
CAAAAACAUGUCCUUUUGUUUAUUAAUUUAAGGUCUAACCUGCCCAAUGAGGAAUUGAAUGGCCGCAGUAUAUUAACUGUGCUAAGGUAGCGUAAUCAUUUGUCUUUUAAUUGAGGGCUGGAAUGAAGGGUUGGACGAGGUAUUAGCUUUCUUUUAUUCAGUUUGAAGAAUUUAAUUUUUGAGUUAAAAAGCUUAAAUUUAUUUGUGGGACGAGAAGACCCUAUAGAUCUUUAUAGUUCUAUAUUUUAAUAAUUUAGAGAUUUAUAUAUUUAAGGUAAAUGAACUAUUUUGUUGGGGUGACUGUGGAAUUUGAGUAACUUCUAUUAUGUAUUUUCAUUAAUUGGUGUUUUUUUGAUCCAUAAUUUAUGAUUAGAAGAUUAAGUUACCUUAGGGAUAACAGCGUAAUUUCCUCGGAGAGUUCAUAUUGAUGAGGGGGUUUGCGACCUCGAUGUUGGAUUAAAAUGAGUUAUGGAUGCAGGAGUCUAUUUACUAGGUCUGUUCGACCUUUAAAUUUUUACAUGAUCUGAGUUC